UACGGAGGAUCCAAGCGUUAUCCGGAUUCACUGGGUUUAAAGGGUGUGUAGGCGGGAUAUUAAGUCAGUGGUGAAAUCCUACAGCUUAACUGUAGAACUGCCAUUGAAACUGAUGUUCUUGAAUGUGGUUGAGGUAAGCGGAAUGUGUAGUGUAGCGGUGAAAUGCUUAGAUAUUACACAGAACACCUAUUGCGAAGGCAGCUUGCUAAGCCAUGAUUGACGCUGAGACACGAAAGCGUGGGGAUCAAACAGG
Molecule: ribosomal RNA, 253 nt
Filed under: uncultured bacterium
Lineage: Bacteria
Description: partial 16S ribosomal RNA
Rfam family: Bacterial small subunit ribosomal RNA
Source: RNAcentral